CCAAGGAGGGACCCGCUGGGAGCACAAAAGUCACAGGAGCCAAAGAGCAGCCUGGGACAGGAUCCUUCCUGCCUUCAUCUGCUAAGGCUGUCCCACAGUCCUCCUUACCUAAAUCCCUCCAGGAGAGAGCUGGUCUCCCAGGAGUGCUCUCACUCCUAAGAACAAAAAUUCACAGGCCCACAUGAGGGACAAGCUCCAGUCAGAGAGAGCAACUAACACCAGAGAUAACCAGAUGGCAAGAGGCAAGCACAAGAAGAGAAGCAACAGGAACCAAGGCUACUUGGCAUCAUCAGAACUCCUAACACAGAAAUACUUGAUAUCCCAACACACCACAAAAGCAAGAUUUGGAUUUAAAACCAAUUCUCAUGAUGAUGAUAGAGGACUAUAAGAAGGACAUAAAUAAAGUCCUUAGAGAAAUACAAGAGGAGACAGGAAAAAAAAGUCGAA
Molecule: long non-coding RNA, 447 nt
Filed under: Rattus norvegicus (Norway rat)
Lineage: Eukaryota; Metazoa; Chordata; Mammalia; Rodentia; Muridae
Description: long non-coding RNA NONRATT014900
Source: RNAcentral